UACAGAGGUGGCAAGCGUUGUUCGGAAUUACUGGGCGUAAAGGGCGCGUAGGCGGCCACCGCAAGUCAGUUGUGAAAUCUCUGGGCUUAACCCAGAAAGGUCAACUGAUACUGCGGGGCUAGAGUGCAGAAGGGGCAACUGGAAUUCUCGGUGUAGCGGUGAAAUGCGUAGAUAUCGAGAGGAACACCUGCGGCGAAGGCGGGUUGCUGGGCUGACACUGACGCUGAUGCGCGAAAGCGUGGGGAGCAAACAGG
This 254-nucleotide ribosomal RNA is filed under the name uncultured bacterium. Its description in RNAcentral is "partial 16S ribosomal RNA". It matches the Rfam family "Bacterial small subunit ribosomal RNA", at positions 524 to 776 of the family's 1533-position model. The record is from RNAcentral.